AACGAACGCUGGCGGCAUGCCUAACACAUGCAAGUCGAACGAGACCUUCGGGUCUAGUGGCGCACGGGUGCGUCACGCGUGGGAACCUGCCCUUAGGUUCGGAAUAACUCCCCGAAAGGGGUGCUAAUACCGGAUAAUGUCUUCGGACCAAAGAUUUAUCGCGUUUGUAUGGGCCCGCGUUGGAUUAGCUAGUUGGUAGGGUAAAAGCCUACCAAGGCGACGAUCCAUAGCUGGUCUGAGAGGAUGAUCAGCCACACUGGGAGUGAGACACGGCCCAGACUCCUACGGGAGGCAGCAGUGGGGAAUAUUGGACAAUGGGCGAAAGCCUGAUCCAGCAAGACCGCGUGAGUGAUGAAGGUCUUAGGGUUGUAAAGCUUUUUUAACCGUGAUGAUAAUGACAGUACCGGGAGAAUAAGCCCCGGCUAACUCCGUG
Molecule: ribosomal RNA, 433 nt
Filed under: uncultured bacterium
Lineage: Bacteria
Description: partial 16S ribosomal RNA
Rfam family: Bacterial small subunit ribosomal RNA
Source: RNAcentral